This 75-nucleotide transfer RNA is filed under the name Actinomycetota bacterium. RNAcentral describes it as "tRNA-Tyr". It matches the Rfam family "tRNA", at positions 9 to 71 of the family's 71-position model. From Rfam's summary of the family: Transfer RNA (tRNA) molecules are approximately 80 nucleotides in length. Their secondary structure includes four short double-helical elements and three loops (D, anti-codon, and T loops). Further hydrogen bonds mediate the characteristic L-shaped molecular structure. tRNAs have two regions of fundamental functional importance: the anti-codon, which is responsible for specific mRNA codon recognition, and the 3' end, to which the tRNAs corresponding amino acid is attached (by aminoacyl-tRNA synthetases). tRNAs cope with the degeneracy of the genetic code in two manners: having more than one tRNA (with a specific anti-codon) for a particular amino acid; and 'wobble' base-pairing, i.e. permitting non-standard base-pairing at the 3rd anti-codon position. The record is from RNAcentral. Lineage: Bacteria; Bacillati; Actinomycetota.
ACCCGAGCGGCCAAUGGGAGCGGACUGUAAAUCCGUCGGCGUAUGCCUUCCAAGGUUCGAAUCCUUGACCCGCCA